UACAGAGGCCUCGAGCGUUAGGCGGAAUCACUGGGCUUAAAGCGUGUGUAGGUGGAUGCCUAAGUACCUUGUGAAAUCCCAUGGCUUAACCAUGGAAUUGCUCGGUAUACUGGGUGUCUUGAGCCACUCAGGGGCUACCGGAACAAGCGGUGGAGCGGUGAAAUGCGUAGAUAUCGCUUGGAACGCCGACGGUGAAAACAGCUCGCUGGGGGUCUUCUGACGCUGAGACACGAAAGCCAGGGGAGCGAACGGG
This 253-nucleotide ribosomal RNA is filed under the name uncultured bacterium. Its description in RNAcentral is "partial 16S ribosomal RNA". It matches the Rfam family "Bacterial small subunit ribosomal RNA", at positions 524 to 776 of the family's 1533-position model. The record is from RNAcentral.